This 436-nucleotide ribosomal RNA is filed under the name uncultured bacterium. RNAcentral describes it as "partial 16S ribosomal RNA". It matches the Rfam family "Bacterial small subunit ribosomal RNA", at positions 339 to 795 of the family's 1533-position model. The record is from RNAcentral.
CUACGGGGGGCACCAGGGAAUAUUGCACAAUGGACGGAAGUCUGAUGCAGCGACGCCGCGUGGAGGAUGACGCAUUUCGGUGUGUAAACUCCUUUUAUAUGUCAAGAAAAUGACGGUAGCAUAUGAAUAAGCACCGGCUAACUCCGUGCCAGCAGCCGCGGUAAUACGGAGGGUGCAAGCGUUACUCGGAAUCACUGGGCGUAAAGGACGCGUAGGCGGGUUGGAAAGUCAGGUGUGAAAUCCUACAGCUUAACUGUAGAACUGCACUUGAAACUUCUAAUCUAGAGUAUGGGAGGGGGAGAUGGAAUUAGUGGUGUAGGGGUAAAAUCCGUAGAUAUCACUAGGAAUACCUAAAGCGAAGGCGAUCUCCUGGAACAUUACUGACGCUAAGGCGUGAAAGCGUGGGGAGCAAACAGGAUUAGAUACCCCAGUAGUC